RNAcentral lists this ribosomal RNA (506 nucleotides) under uncultured bacterium. RNAcentral describes it as "partial 16S ribosomal RNA". It matches the Rfam family "Bacterial small subunit ribosomal RNA", at positions 28 to 506 of the family's 1533-position model. The record is from RNAcentral.
GACGAACGCUGGCGGCGUGCCUAAUACAUGCAAGUCGAACGCAUUUUCUUUCACCGUAGCUUGCUACACCGAAAGAAAAUGAGUGGCGAACGGGUGAGUAACACGUGGGUAACCUGCCCAUCAGCGGGGGAUAACACUUGGAAACAGGUGCUAAUACCGCAUAAUUCCAUUUACCGCAUGGUAAAUGGAUGAAAGGCGCUUUUGCGUCACUGAUGGAUGGACCCGCGGUGCAUUAGCUAGUUGGUGGGGUAACGGCCUACCAAGGCUGCGAUGCAUAGCCGACCUGAGAGGGUGAUCGGCCACACUGGGACUGAGACACGGCCCAGACUCCUACGGGAGGCAGCAGUAGGGAAUCUUCGGCAAUGGACGCAAGUCUGACCGAGCAACGCCGCGUGAGUGAAGAAGGUUUUCGGAUUGUAAAACUCUGUUGUUAGAGAAGAACAAGGAUGAGAGUGGAAAGUUCAUCCCUUGACGGUAUCUAACCAGAAAGCCACGGCUAACUACGU